RNAcentral lists this ribosomal RNA (654 nucleotides) under Triticum aestivum (bread wheat). RNAcentral describes it as "partial small subunit ribosomal RNA". Lineage: Eukaryota; Viridiplantae; Streptophyta; Magnoliopsida; Poales; Poaceae. The record is from RNAcentral.
GCAAGUGAGCGAGGAUCGGGUCGUCGCAUCCUUAGUGGCGCGCUACAUCGGCGCCCGGAUGUAGUGGAAAAUGAGCAAGGAUCUUCGCAUUUGACUCGACGAGUGCGAAGGGUAAGGAAGCUAGCCGAGCCUAGGAGGAUUCGCUUAGGUAGCUGGAACGUAGGGUCUCUGACAGGGAAGCUUCGGGAGCUAGUUGAUGCAGCAGUGAGGAGAGGUGUUGAUAUCCUUUGCGUCCAAGAAACCAAAUGGAGAGGACAGAAGGCGAAGGAGAUGGAGGAUACCGGCUUCAAGCUGUGGUACACGGGGACGGCUGCAAACAGAAAUGGCGUAGGCAUCUUGAUCAACAAGAGCCUCAAGUAUGGAGUGGUAGACGUCAGGAGACAUGGGGACCGGAUUAUCCUGGUUAAGCUGGUAGCUGAGGACUUGGUUCUCAAUGUUAUCAGCGCAUAUGCCCCGCAAGUAGGCCACAAUGAGAACACCAAGAGGGAGUUCUGGGAAGGCUUGGAAGACAUGGUUAGGAGUGUACCGAUUGGUGAGCAGCUCUUCAUAGGAGGAGACCUCAAUGGCCACGUGGGUACAUCUAACACAGUUUUGAAGGGGCGCAUGGGGGCUUUGGCUAUGGCAUCAGGAAUCAAGAAGGAGAAGAUGUCUUAA